AAAACAUUUUCUGUUUCUCAGAUUGCUAACAGCUAGUCUACCUAGUGUUCUGUUUUUGUUUGUUGUUUGUUUAGGGAAAGGGGUUUCCUCUGGAUUGAGAUUGGGGGAGGAACAAGAUCAGAGAAUACAGGGUAGGCUGCUCAAAUCUUCUAUAGUAGGGUAGUCAGGCCGAAAUAAUCACAUUGAAUAGAGCUGGCAAUCUACCACUGCGGCAGCGAAGGGUGAUUAAAAAAAAUAACUUAACAACACUUUGUGCUUCCUCAUGACAUUACUUCACUCCAAGGUUGACUAGCUCUGUCUGUAGCUUUGAAUAAACUGUGGGAGCCCGAGUGUCUUGAUUGGAAUCAGCUGAAGAAUGAUGUCCUCCCCACAGGCAAAGUGAAGAUUCAAAUCCUAGCAAAAUACAGACUUGUUAAAGAUUCAGCCAGCAAUGCUGCAACUCUCCGUGACUUUCUUCAAUAGAAGCAUCUCCCUCUGACCACAGCCAGCAACAGAAACCACACAGAGCUUUGCUACUCUGAUGUGAUCUCUAGAUCAGUGGAAUCAGUAUCAUCUGGGAAGUUGUUGGAAAUGAAGCAUCUUGGGCCCCACCACAGACCUAUUGAAUGAGAAUCUGCACUUUUAUAAGAUAUUUAGGUAAGUCAUAUGUACAUUACAGUUUGUGUAUCAUUGGGGUAGAGUAACUGUUCUCAGCCUUGAGUGCAUAUUGGAAUCACC
Molecule: long non-coding RNA, 717 nt
Filed under: Papio anubis (olive baboon)
Lineage: Eukaryota; Metazoa; Chordata; Mammalia; Primates; Cercopithecidae
Description: lncRNA (ENSPANG00000049269.1)
Source: RNAcentral